UGUGUCCUCUUUGGUCUGGCCACCCCUCUUUUUAGCUCCUGCCAGUGUCAUGAGAUAUAUUAAUAGUCCAUAGAAGCAGACAGGAGCCCAAGAAGGACAGGAAGCGGAUUUCAGGAGGGAGGGGGUGGAAGAGGACCCAGCCUGGGAUGGAGAGCGACCCCUACGAAGCAGAGGACUUUGUGUGUGACUACCACCUGGAGAUGCUGAGCCUGUCCCAGGACCAGCAGAACCCCUCCUGCAUCCAGUUUGAUGACUCCAACUGGCAGCUGCACCUCACCUCCCUCAAACCCCUGGGCCUCAAUGUGCUGCUGAACCUGUGUGAUGCCAGCGUCACCGAGCGCCUGUGCCGAUUCUCCGACCACCUGUGCAACAUCGCCCUGCAAGAGAGCCACAGCGCCGUGCUGCCCGUCCAUGUGCCCUGGGGCCUCUGCGAGCUUGCCCGCCUCAUUGGUACGGGUCCCCAUGGCAGGGGAUGGCUGGCUGGACCCGCCUCCUAGAAGAGGCCCAGUACCAACUCCUCACGGGACUUAAUGGACCUGGCAGGGUAUUGCCGGGGCAUGGCCCUAAGUUCCUGUUCCCCG
This 581-nucleotide small RNA is filed under the name Pan troglodytes (chimpanzee). RNAcentral describes it as "retained intron". The record is from RNAcentral. Lineage: Eukaryota; Metazoa; Chordata; Mammalia; Primates; Hominidae.